Long non-coding RNA from Vidua chalybeata, 397 nucleotides. RefSeq lists it as uncharacterized. The record is from RefSeq and is a predicted model, not a curated record. Lineage: Eukaryota; Metazoa; Chordata; Aves; Passeriformes; Viduidae. The transcript is spliced from 3 exons.
UGUGUGAGAGAAUGCUCUGCUGGCAGCCUGCAGUGCAGAAUGGGGACUUAACCUGGCCCCAGUCGCCUUGCUGGAUUUGGGGUUGGUCACUGAGUCUGUGGAAGCCCUGACCUCGUGUGCCAGCUGUUGAUGAGGUUGAUCCUCUUCCCCUGUUCCUCUGCCCAGCCUAGCUGGGGAAAAUUCCUGUGUUGGACCACCUUGGGAGGAAAAGUGCUGAGGAGCAAGCAAAUUCUCAGGCACAAAGGAAGGUCAGUGUGGGAGGGUACCUGCCUUGCAGCCCUGAAUAGGUGAAGUCAGCAGGAUUCAGUGGAGAUGCUGGAGAUGGACAUCUUGCUGUUAUUGUGCAGAUCUUGUGCUUCCCCACAGAUGCACUGAAGAUAUUUUCAAAAAACACAUG